GACGAACGCUGGCGGCGUGCUUAACACAUGCAAGUCGAACGGAAAGGCCCCCACCUUGGUGGGGGUGCUCGAGUGGCGAACGGGUGAGUAACACGUGGGUGAUCUGCCCUGUACUUCGGGAUAAGCUUGGGAAACUGGGUCUAAUACCGGAUAGGACCAUGGUUUAGUGUCUCAUGGUGGAAAAAUUAUUGUUUUGGUGCAGGAUGAGCUCGCGGCCUAUCAGCUUGUUGGUGGGGUAAUGGCCUACCAAGGCGUCGACGGGUAGCCGGCCUGAGAGGGUGGACGGCCACAUUGGGACUGAGAUACGGCCCAGACUCCUACGGGAGGCAGCAGUGGGGAAUAGUGCACAAUGGGCGCAAGCCUGAUGCAGCGACGCCGCGUGGGGGAUGACGGCCUUCGGGUUGUAAACUCCUUUCGUUAGGGACGAAGCCACACCUUUUUUGGGUGUGGUGACGGUACCUUUGUUAAGAAGCACCGGCUAACUACGUG
This 489-nucleotide ribosomal RNA is filed under the name uncultured bacterium. RNAcentral describes it as "partial 16S ribosomal RNA". It matches the Rfam family "Bacterial small subunit ribosomal RNA", at positions 28 to 507 of the family's 1533-position model. The record is from RNAcentral.